Molecule: ribosomal RNA, 607 nt
Filed under: Fusarium udum
Lineage: Eukaryota; Fungi; Ascomycota; Sordariomycetes; Hypocreales; Nectriaceae
Description: SSU rRNA
Rfam family: Bacterial small subunit ribosomal RNA
Source: RNAcentral
GUGAGCAAAACAGCUAUGGGUCAAGUAAUAAGACUACAGAAGUCUUAUUGUGAGGCGAGUUAUAUAAAAAAAAAAAAUGGCCGUCCCAUAUGAAAAGAUUAUAUUAGAAUUGAAUGAAGCUUUGUUUAUAUAUUGAUAAUGACAGUAUAGAUAUCGGGUCUUGACUAAUUGCGUGCCAGCAGUCGCGGUAAUACGUAAGAGACUAGUGUUAUUCAUCUUAAUUAGGUUUAAAGGGUACCCAGACGGUCAAUAUAGCUUAUAAAAUGUUAGUACUUGACUAGAGUUUUAUGUAAGAGGGCAGUACUUGAGGAGGAGAGAUGAAAUUUCGUGAUACCAAAGGGACUCUGUAAAGGCGAAGGCAGCCCUCUAUGUAAAAACUGACGUUGAAGGACGAAGGGACAGAGAACAAACAGGAUGAGAUACCCCAGUAGUCUUUGCAGUAAAUGAUGAAUGCCAAGGUUAGAUUGAUCAAUUAUAGUCUAGGGUUAGGUCUAGCAAAACUAAUUGCCCUAUGAAAUAAAUUCAAAAUAUCUGGGUCUAUAAAUGAAAAGUGUAAGCCUUUCACCUCAAGGAGUAAGGUGGCACCGCAAGGAACUGGAAAAUCACU